UAGGUCUCACUAAUCUAGAUGACUCGUUCCUAACCCAAGUAGUUCGCAUAAACAAGAUAGUAAACACGUAGCAAGUAAGUGCGAAAAAUUAAAACACACAAAAGAAAGGGUGUAAAAGAGAAAGAAAAACCUAAAUCUAGGGUUCCCUAAUAAAAAUGAACUAGACCUUGCUCCUAACGUUAAGGACCACCAAAAACUCAAUAAAUCCAAAAUUAUUCGGACCGGUUUGGCCAGUUUGGAGCAGGCAUUGCCAAGAGGCCAAUCUCCGCGCUUAGACACCAAAC
This 284-nucleotide long non-coding RNA is filed under the name Daucus carota (carrot). RNAcentral describes it as "long non-coding RNA (DCAR_LNC007226)". The record is from RNAcentral. Lineage: Eukaryota; Viridiplantae; Streptophyta; Magnoliopsida; Apiales; Apiaceae.